RNAcentral lists this ribosomal RNA (766 nucleotides) under uncultured Roseateles sp. RNAcentral describes it as "bacterial SSU rRNA". It matches the Rfam family "Bacterial small subunit ribosomal RNA", at positions 668 to 1439 of the family's 1533-position model. Lineage: Bacteria; Pseudomonadati; Pseudomonadota; Betaproteobacteria; Burkholderiales; Sphaerotilaceae. The record is from RNAcentral.
UCCGCGUGUAGCAGUGAAAUGCGUAGAUAUGCGGAGGAACACCGAUGGCGAAGGCAAUCCCCUGGACCUGUACUGACGCUCAUGCACGAAAGCGUGGGGAGCAAACAGGAUUAGAUACCCUGGUAGUCCACGCCCUAAACGAUGUCAACUGGUUGUUGGGAGGGUUUCUUCUCAGUAACGUAGCUAACGCGUGAAGUUGACCGCCUGGGGAGUACGGCCGCAAGGUUGAGACUCAAAGGAAUUGACGGGGACCCGCACAAGCGGUGGAUGAUGUGGUUUAAUUCGAUGCAACGCGAAAAACCUUACCUACCCUUGACGUGUCUGGAAUCCUGAAGAGAUUUGGGAGUGCUCGAAAGAGAGCCAGAACACAGGUGCUGCAUGGCCGUCGUCAGCUCGUGUCGUGAGAUGUUGGGUUAAGUCCCGCAACGAGCGCAACCCUUGUCAUUAGUUGCUACGAAAGGGCACUCUAAUGAGACUGCCGGUGACAAACCGGAGGAAGGUGGGGAUGACGUCAGGUCAUCAUGGCCCUUAUGGGUAGGGCUACACACGUCAUACAAUGGCCGGGACAGAGGGCUGCCAACCCGCGAGGGGGAGCUAAUCCCAGAAACCCGGUCGUAGUCCGGAUCGUAGUCUGCAACUCGACUGCGUGAAGUCGGAAUCGCUAGUAAUCGCGGAUCAGCUUGCCGCGGUGAAUACGUUCCCGGGUCUUGUACACACCGCCCGUCACACCAUGGGAGCGGGUUCUGCCAGAAGUAGUUAGCCUAAC